Long non-coding RNA from Zonotrichia leucophrys gambelii, 3166 nucleotides. RefSeq lists it as uncharacterized. The transcript is spliced from 5 exons. The record is from RefSeq and is a predicted model, not a curated record. NCBI's taxonomy places the organism in Eukaryota, Metazoa, Chordata, Aves, Passeriformes, Passerellidae.
UGUGAGGAGCUGCACAUGAGAACGAAGGGAUGGGAGUUUUUGCAAUGAGAUGACAACUCAUGGGAGCUGGGAAAUAAUUUACUCAUCCAGGAUAUUUCCUGCCACAUUUAAGGACCUGAAACACAUUCUUAGCUAAGCAAUGAGGGAAAUAGUGGAGGUAGUACUUAUGAGAGGACUAUUUUUUCCCAGCCCAAGCUGUUGGGGUGGAAUUGGGGUGCCCCUCAGGGCAUCCAACUGUACUGGAGGCAGCUGUGAGAUUCCUCCUUGCCUACACACCUGAAAAGACUCAUGGAUCCUCCAUUUCCAGUAUUUAUUCAGACAUGAAGGGGUUUUUUUCUCUCUCAAGGCUCACAUCUGCCCUCCUUUUUUUGUGCGCAGUUGCAGUCCUUUAGGAGUACACGACAACUGUGUGCAAGGCAGGCAAGAAAAGGUCUGAGCCUGACAUCAGAAUCCAUCAGACUGCACAGAACAUGUCAGUUGCUCUCUAACCCCCAGAGAACCCAACAUGGUCCUGUUUGUCUCCCAAGAAGCCUGGAAUCCUACUCCUCUUGCAUGUGACUCCAAGGAGCCCCAAUCCAAUGUAAGCAAGUCAGGCUUUAGUUCCACAUAAGCAGCAGAGGCAGAGUACCAUGGACUUCAGGACUCCAGCAUUAACUCUGGUAGCUAACAACUGCUCAAUGUCACUUCCAUAAACCCUCCUGGAACAAAUCAUACACAAUUUUCGCAGAUCCAGGGGCAAUGUCUGCAGGCCAGUGAAGAUGGGAUUGGCUCUACAUCUGGAUUGGGGAUGGUCACCUGCAACCGCCUCUGUGCUCGGACAACACUGCCUUGUCUCAGAGCCCAUCCUCUUCCAUCCCUCCUGUUAGGCAGAUAUGUUUUCUGGCUCAGACUUCAGACCAGCAAAGUGCUCUACACCCUUUUGAAAGGAAACAGCAGAUUUCCUCCAUGCUUUGGGAUUCAGCACAGGCUGCAGUUUUCAAGAUGAGUAGGUGCCCUGCCUGCAUGGCACAGACCAGUGCCCCGUUAUGUGCCACUUGUCACCUGCAUCACGCCUGCACAGCAUGCUGCGGCUCAAGAGGAGUCACAGAGUGAUGUGGGACAAUGGUGGGGGAGUUCCCAAGCCAUCACAAAGUUGGGGCAGGAAAAGGAGAGCGAGAGAAAGUGUGAAACUGGCAGCAGGUGGCAAACCGGUAUGCAAUUCCCAGCAGAGACAAGUCUGACGGACGAAGUGUGGAGAGGGGAUUUAUCCCCUCCUCCUCCUCCCUGCAGGCCCCAGAAUAAGUUAAACAAGGCGUCAGAUGUUUCUAUUUUAAGAAUAACCAGGAAGGCUGGCACUACAAAAGGAAAAGGAGGGGAGGGCAGAAGUUGUCUAGUAUAAUUAGCAACACGUUUUCCUGCCUGCCUUCCAGAGAGCGUGCCCCCUUCCAGCAAGCCAGGGUCUGCACAGCAUAAAUUAUUGCUGUCUAAAUUUGAGCCUGUGCUGCUGCUUCUGCCAAGUGUUUACUCCUGAAUGCUAUAUUUUUUCAGCCGCAGAUGACACUGGGUGACAUGUGUCAUCACAGUACGUGCCCCUGGAAAACAGGCACUGUGAAAUUGCUCUGACAUUCUCCAAGAAGGGCUGCUCACGUGUGCAGAGACGGGAGUCAGAAGGUCUUGGUGAAGAGACGAGUCUGUCCCAGUGGGGCAAAACCAGACAAUGGGCUGGGCAAGAUCCCUGCUGCACGUGGCACUGAGUUCGUGGGUCACCCCUGAACUCUGCUUGUAAGAAGAUAAGAAUUCUGGGCUCCUUCUGCUUCAGCUAGCUCUGCACUGCCGCUUCCCCCGUGAAUGAGACCUGUGCCCCUCAUGGCAGCGAGUAAAGCCACAGCUUCAUCAUCUGUCACAGGCUCCAUAAUAACCAGAAGCUGCAUCAGGCACGGCACAGUGAUUGUGCACCCCUAGCAGCGGCUGCAAGGGUGAAAGAGGUGCUGUAUAAAUAUUUCACAACUAUUUUCUUUCUCCCAAGACCAUGUUACCAUGAAUUCUUUCUGGCCACAUGUCCUCUACCUCAGCAAGUCCAGAGCUCUUGAAACACAUUGGAUGAUCCCUUUUUGGUCAUAUUCAGACUGCUGAAAGUCCAGGUCUGUGCAGCGUGAUUGACAAACCAAACCGCUCAAAUAGUCAGUUUUUGUUGUGGCAGGCAAUAGAAUUUUAUGGCUGCGGAUGCAGUGGCUGUAUUCUGCCAUUGAAACAAAGAGCUCUGGGCUUGGCACACUCACGUGGUUCCUAAUCAGCUUUGGCCUUCACUUACAGGUUUCUGUUCAACCUAAAGCACACAGAUUAAAAUAAACCACACAUUAAAAGAGAAGGCUUUAUAACCGCAAUUAGGGAAAAAUGUUUUAUGUUGGUAUCUUUAGCCUGGCAUGUCAAGGUUAGAAAUGUUCUUGUUUCAUUGCUCUGACAACAUAUGGCCAAAGUCAACAAGAGGCUGAUGUGAGAGUUUGAUAUAUUGCAGCCCAGAAUGAUCUCAUCUUUGGCAGGUCAUGGGAUCAGAGCAUGAAGCAGUCAGAUAUGAUCCACAUUAGGUACUAUGUCAGUGUGAAAGUGUACGGGUCUGUCACUGUGAUCACGGAUAGAAAGCCAAAGCGUGAUGAAGGUCAGGCUGUUGGGGCAGCCAAACCUGUGACAGCCCACCCUGUGUGGUGCCACUGGUAGAGGAAAGCCACUUGUCCCCAGAUGCCUCUCACUGCCAUCAGCAUUGCUGUGCUUUGCAGCUCAGGUUCACCCAGCACACCUGUCUGCUCUGAGAGCACACAGCAAAUGGAGCAGGACAUCUGUGCCAGGGAGCUGGCUUCUGCCAUCUUCUGCUAUUUUUACAUGGUGGCUGUGAAAGCUUCCAAAACGAGACGCAUUGCCACAAUUAAACCGAGCGCGUUUAAUAGCAAACUCCAUUGCAAAUUGCAGAGUGAAGCCACUUCAUAUUUCCAUGGGGCUUGCUAGAAAAAUAGCUCCAAUUAAUGAGGCACAUUGUAGACUUGUUUAUAUUCAGCUGACUCUGUUUAAGCACCAAAUUAUCUGUGUGUGAUUAUGAGGCCAAAUUCACCCUAUAAUUUUUCAUUUAUCAUUAUUUUACUGCCUGGCCUGUUCUGCUGAGCUGAGGAGUUAUUCAUGGAGCAAAAUCUCCCUG